Molecule: long non-coding RNA, 1230 nt
Organism: Betta splendens (Siamese fighting fish)
Lineage: Eukaryota; Metazoa; Chordata; Actinopteri; Anabantiformes; Osphronemidae
Exons: 3
Source: RefSeq, a predicted model, not a curated record
GUGUGCAGUAAAGCAGAGCACUGCACUUUGCUAAUGCAUUUUAAUUGAAGAAAACUAAAUGCUGUUGUAAAAACAACACACUGAAUUAAGGCAGGUUUUAUUUUUCUAGCAUAUUUCUAGUCCCUCAGCGACAAUCCAAAAGUUUAACUCCGCGAACUCUUUUUCGCCACACAAACAGUGACGUCAUGGAUGAUAAGGGAAAAGAAGUAAUAGCUGGCUUAUUCUAACUUCUCCCCAGACACAUAUCUGGGUCACCUCAGUACUGACGUGCUCUAUAUAGCUGGUAUAAGCCAUUAUUUGCUGCGCUUUAUUUAACAUUAGCUCAACAAACCAACACAACUCCUUAAGUUGUCAGACAAGGUUAGCUUCACCUGCUGGUUUGACAACUCUGUCAACUUCCCGGUAAGAGAGGAGUUUUUACCUGCCCUUUACAAUAACUUCAACAAACAUUCAAAUAGCUGUCACAUUUCACCAUGCCUCUAUAUUUAAACAUAACUCCGCGCAUGUUACGGUGAUUUUUUUUCCCAUGGGAUCUAUCAGAAGUGUAAGCAGCAAUAGCCCCGAUCUCCCAUCCGCGGUGUGAUGUAGCUCUUUGGCUAGCUGUCCGCCGGGUGUGGGUUUCGUGUUUAACUUCACAUACCGCGAACACAUAUGUCACAUACAUUAUUAACACUAUCCUUAACAUUACUUAAAGGUUUGUGUAAACUAUGCAUAACAGCGAUUCUAUGGAUCAGUGUCUCUGCUUUGAGCUAGCUAGUUAGCCACAUUACAGAAUGUGUGUAAAAAAAAAACGCCGAUCCGGAUUGGUCCGUUGAUGUCGGAAGACCGUUGCUAUUGGUUCACGUGCGGGUCUGUCACAACAGAGACUCGCCUCUUUGUGCCAACUGAGACUCCCAACUCCUGACAAACACAAGGCCUUUAUCCCACUUCGCUGUGACAACCAGCGACAACUUCCACAGCCGCUUGGGUUCUGCACUCACACGCGUAUGUGAACAAGGAGGAGCACGAUGGUUUGGUGUCACAGCUCGAAGGAAAGAAACAGGAGCAGCUUCAUAGCAGUGCAAAGCAGCUGUGCCACAGGGAAAACUAAGCCCUGUAGCUGCAAAAGAGGACAGACAAUUCACAUAUUCCAUUAUGGUGUGUGUGUUGGCUGACAUUGCACUUGUACAGAAGACGUGGCCUUUGGUUUAAGGAUGUAUACACACCACCUCAGGAGGAGACAGGAGAAAA